Molecule: long non-coding RNA, 3918 nt
Filed under: Homo sapiens (human)
Lineage: Eukaryota; Metazoa; Chordata; Mammalia; Primates; Hominidae
Description: HSALNT0335209
Source: RNAcentral
GUGAUCCCAGGGACUCAGGAGUCAUGGCAGAGGAAUUUAUUGCUUAGCAACCCAGACAAAUGUCAAGAGUCUUACCAAAUGCAGAUGAUGCUCUGUGGAAGAGACCUGCUUCAAGUCAGGUCAAGUAAAAACAACCUUGCCAGCAAGAUCCAUCAGUGAGGUCACUGAGAGAAGAGGAAACAUACACAAAGCUGCAUGAAAAAGAUAAUUCACCUUAUCAGUGCAACAGAAGUUUCAUAACAACGUAACUCCAGCAGGACACCUCCAUAUGAAUGGCUUUCCAUAGCACCAUACUGGGCAGAUUGCCAGCAAGUUCUACCAGCUUAGCACCACAGUGACUUCUCUGUCAUCUGGUGAGCCUAUGAUCGCCAAUAAAGGUCUGGAUCUCAGCCUGGGCUCUCUUCCUUGGAUCUAUGCUGAACCUAACUGGAAACUGGGUGGCAAGAGUUGAUACAGUCCACACAGGUCGGCCUCCUGGGCAGAGAUCAGAGUAGGACAGGAUGAAGAACACAUCUGGAGGGUCAAAGAGAAGCUAUGACACAGGGCUUCUCAUCCUCAGACUUUUUUCUGAAGGCAGAUGAAGCACCAAACCUCGGGUGAGCCAAUUAAGAACAAAUGGCGCAGUUACAGAAGACAGGAUGCAACCCUGCCACCUAUCUCUCUCUUUCAGAUGGUAAUCGUGUACCCAUACCACAGGACACUCCCCUUGGGUGCAUCUGCCAAACUGGGAAAAGGUUUUUUUCUCAGUCGACUGAAUUAUUUUUCUCCAUUUUGUCUUGCCAUUCUUGGUGCAAACAUGAGAGGCCCUAAGAUAAUUUCUGAGAUCAUGGGACUCCUUGAGAAAAAUAGAAAAGGUGCUACGGACCCCAUCUUAAGAUAAAACGUCUGUUUUCCUCAUGGAACCCCAGUGUCCGUGUGCCUAAUUCUUCCUGGUUGUGUGACAAGACCUCGGACUGAGCUGAGCUAAGGAGCAGAAAAACUGCAACAAUAUGAGGGAAAAGACAGAAGGCAGACUGUGACAAAUGAAUUUAACUGUACUACAGAUGAAUUAGAUAACCACAAUGAAGAAGAUGGAAAGAAAGUUGAUGAUCUCCAUAACUUUAGAAAAUGCUUUGGCUUAAUAAUGCAAGGCUAAGGACAAAAAAUAAGUAUAUAUAGACAUAAACUUUAGUUGAUACAUUUGUUUCUCAGAGGGGAAGGAGCCAGAAAUUCUGAAACUACUUUAUUUGUAUAUUAGGGUUGAGCAAGCAAGUAAAUAUGUUAGAAUAUAAUGAGAACCAGGUUUCUCGCUGUCAAUGAAAGAAGCUACAAACAACAAAAAAAGGAAGGAUAAAAUGAACCGUGGUGUUGUAUAGGAGUUCUAGUUACCAAUGUGGAAUCGUGGUUUCUUUAAAACACAUCUAUCUACAUAAGUAGACAUAGAAACAAAUACAGAUGUGUAUAAGCAUGACUUUUUAUACAUAUGUAUUUUUUAUCUCUAUCUACUGAGAAAGCCAAAAGCAGCAGCACCCCAGUAGUCACAAAUAUCAGUGGCAUCCAGAUUUAGAUCUAUGAAUAUAAUUUUUCAAUUAAAAAGACAGGGCUCCUUGGAGGUCUACUUGACUCCAGGGUGAGGGUAAGAAAAAUUUAGGAGAAGUCUGAAGUAUCUGUGAUGACAGAAAAAAGAAAGCACUUAAAAAAUAAGGGAUAGAAGAGGGGAAACAAAGAAAAGAAUGGAGCAUAUAAAAAACACACAGGAACCAACCUAUCUGGGCACAAUGGUGUGCACCUGUAGUCCCAGGCACUUAGAAGGCUAAAGUGGGAAGAUCCCUUAAGCCCAGGAGUUCAAGCCCAGCUUGGGCAACAAAGCGAGACCCCAUCUCUUAAAAACAAAGAAGCCAAUAUGAAUGGUCAAAGUUGAAAAAUAUUGAAUAAGAAAAUAAAUAAUGAUAUUGUUAGAUUAUAAUGAAAAUAAUCAGAUAAUAUCCAUGAGCUUACACUAAUGCAAAUAAAUUAAUGGAUUAAUAAAAUAAAUAGAGGAAAAUACCAACUCUUCAGAAAAAAAUACAAUUAAUAAAGAUAGAAGGAAUGAUAGAAAUAUGAUAUUAUUACUAGAAUCUCAAAGGGAUAAUUGCUCCAGGUAAGAUCCAGCAGUGAAUGUUCAAAUUAGUGGAUAAAAAAAUAUUUUCCGAAACAGGAUAUUUGCAUAGUCUCUAAGUGCCUCUCUCAAAAUAAUUAGGAACCACAAAGAGAUAAAUAGUAAAUAUACCAUGGAGAGGCUAGCAGAUACAACCUUAGUCAAGUGAUCAAGGUGAGCCUCACCAGCAAUGACUUAUGUGAUAUGCCUCCUUCCCCUAUAUGAUAUUACCAAAGAGUACUUCACUUCUGUACUAUUCUUACCACAUAAUCCAUAACCACUGCCUGAACAUGGGAAAACAUCACACAAAUCAUUUGGUGGACACUCUACAAAAUAAAUAAUCAGUAUUCUUCCAAAUAUCAGCGUCAUGGAUAAGGGAGCCUAAGGAAUUGUCAUAGAGUACCUAAAACCAAAGAGACAUGUCACAUAAAUGCAAUGUGGGAUCCUGAACUGAAUUCUGAAACAAAGGAAAGGUCAUUAGUGAAAGACAGUAUUUUACCAAUGUUAAUUUCUUAGUUGUGAUCAAUAUUCCAUGUUAGAUGUUAAUGUAAGGGGAAACUAGGUAAGAGUAUAUAGGAAUUAUGUGUAGCAUUUUUGCAACUCUUCUGUAAUUCUGAAAUUAUUUCAAUUUUUAAAGGUUUUACCUAUGAAAGGGAUAAAGGAUUUAGGAUUAUGGGUCAGGGACAGCCAUUAGAUUUUUUUAAUGAAUACGUUUUGUGUAAUUAUGAUUUUUGAACUAUAUGAAGCUAUUAAUAAUUUAGAACUAAAUUUAAUGUUUUAAAAUAAAUACAAAUAAAAGGAGGUUUUUAAAAAAAUUUAUACUUUAGUUUCUAAAUUGUAUACAGGUUUUUCACAUGGAAUAUGAUAAAAUAAUAUGCACUAUUAGAAAGAAAAUAUGUAAAAAGUAUAACAAAAUUAAAAGAUUUAUGUAGAGUUGGUGGCAGAAAGUAUUCAAGCUUUGAGACCUCAUAACAUCAAAAUGAAGUUUCCAUUGCUAUUGUUUGUGAAGUACAAAAGUACAUUACCAGCUAUGUCAGAAAUAAUUUAGAGAUAAUAGGAAUACCCUGCCUUAAUUAAACUCUUAGUAAAUGUUCAAUGAAUGAGUCACUGUCAUGUUUCUCUGUCUCUUCUACAGACCUCAGUGGACUUGUUCCAAGGAAAAGGAAAGAGGGAUGGAGCAUGGUUUUAUGGCAGCCUUUCCCCAGAAUGAAAUAUACUUUGAGCACAUGAGCUCAUGAGCAGGAGAAAACUGAUCGGAAGGACAUGAUGGCCAUACAAACCUUGUCCUGCAAUAUUCUGCCAGCUUUUUCUCAAGAUGCAUAGAAACGUGAAGCAAGUGACAGCCACAUCACCAAUUUUAUCCAUAAUUACAAAAUGCAGCCCUAUUUCAGUGAUGUUCAAAGAUUUGUGAUCCAUUCAAGUCCAUUUAUUUGACUUAGCCUCACAGAUACUUCCUCAAUUUUCCCUUCCACCAAGUUAGGAUCAAUAGCAUCUCCUGGGCAUGGAGCUGUCUUGGCAGUCUCUGAUCACUGAGCUUUCUCAGGAAGUACUCUGUCUUUUUGAGCAGAAGGAUUUUUAUAUUAAGCUCAAAUACAGCACUUCAAUAACAAUUUGAGUGACCUAGGCUUGCAGCUGACAUAGUGUCCAGGUGAUUGCCAGCUAAUCAAAGUGAUGAAAUUUAUCAAUCUGAAAUAAUUCACCUGAAGAUGUACAGCUAUAGUACAUAUUAUGAAAUUAUUGGGAAGGUGCAAAUUAUAUAUUGUGGAAGUGAGUGAUCUAAAUAAAAAACUGCAAAGUAAGUU